CUGGGACUGGUGGCAGCACUU
Molecule: microRNA, 21 nt
Filed under: Bos taurus (domestic cattle)
Lineage: Eukaryota; Metazoa; Chordata; Mammalia; Artiodactyla; Bovidae
Description: bta-miR-2287
Source: miRBase by way of RNAcentral